This 253-nucleotide ribosomal RNA is filed under the name uncultured bacterium. RNAcentral's name for it is "partial 16S ribosomal RNA". It matches the Rfam family "Bacterial small subunit ribosomal RNA", at positions 524 to 776 of the family's 1533-position model. The record is from RNAcentral.
UACGUAGGGACCCAGCGUUGUCCGGAAUCAUUGGGCGUAAAGAGCGUGUAGGCGGUUUGUUAAGUCUUGCGUGAAAUCUCGGGGCUCAACCCCGAGCGGUCGUGAGAAACUGGCAGGCUAGAGUGCGGGAGAGGAGAGUGGAAUUCCUGGUGUAGCGGUGAAAUGCGCAGAUAUCAGGAAGAACACCCGUGGCGAAGGCGGCUCUCUGGGCCGUACCUGACGCUGAGGAGCGAAAGCGUGGGGAGCGAACAGG